Molecule: long non-coding RNA, 8863 nt
Organism: Cygnus olor (mute swan)
Lineage: Eukaryota; Metazoa; Chordata; Aves; Anseriformes; Anatidae
Exons: 3
Source: RefSeq, a predicted model, not a curated record
GCAAGGUGUUUUUUUUUGUGUUUUUGUUUUUUUAAGGAAAAAAAAACAGCACCCUUGCAUCACAUUCCACAUCUUCAUUAAAUUAACAUCACACACAAGUUGCUUCUCAAGGACGUGAAGGUGAUUGUUGUGCCAGCAGCAGGAGUGUAAAGCUGUAUUUAGAAACGUACCAGAGGGUGCUGAGUGAGGAGUACAGUGUCAUUACGAAGCUGCAGGCCAUCGUCUUUGAAAGGCAGUGGCAACGGGGGAAUGGUCCUGAUGAUUGCAGAAAGAUGAAGGCUGCUGCGCCGUUCUUCAAAGGGAACAAUUUGAGGAAUUACAAGCUGGUCAGUGUGACCGAAGUCCAUGGAAAGGUUACUGAGUGAAUCCUCACAAAGCUGCGUCCGGCGCUAUGUCCAGACACAGGAAGGUUAAGAACACAACUGGGAACAAUCAACAUGGAUUUAUCAAGGGCAAAUUAGUCUGACCAAGCUUAACUGCCUUUUGUGAUGAGAUGAGCAGCACUGGACGAGAGGAGAGGAAGCCGUGUCAUUUACCUUGAUGUUAGAAAGGCUUUCAGCAGUCCCCCAAAGUGCUCUUGCGGAAAGCAGAAUUGGAGAGGUGCGGUUUGGACACAUGAAUUAAAAGGUGGGUGGAAAGUUCACUGAACUCUCAGAUGCAGAGGGGCAGGCAAGGCAAAACCCAACCAGCAGCAUUCCCUGGGACCUGCUGCUGGAGCUGUUGCACAUCUCCACUGCUGACCUGGGUGAUGGGGCAGAGCGGACCCGCAGCGAGCCCCUGGCUGGCACCAGCCCGGGCACAGUGCGGGAGAGCUCUGCAGGGCAGGAGCCGGGUGUCCCGGUUACAGGGUGCACGGGAGCCACAGACCAGGUGGGCAGCGUGGGCGAGAGCAGAGCCAGCGUGGUUCUGGGCACGAGAUCCAGAGGCGCUGCUUCGCACAGAGGCUGUCCUCGUCCUGAAGACCCCGCAGUGAGGAGGCGCUGCUGGCAGGCAGGAAGCCUGGCUACUUCCAUUGCACGAUAGGGCACGUCUGCGGCCUUCGGAGUCUGCCACAAGCACAAAUGUUUUAGGAUUGUAAGGCUGACUCUUCACAUGUGGUGCUUUUGAAGACUGAAGAAUUUAUAGUACUGUUGAAACCCUCUGGCACUCUUUGACCUGCUCCGUUCUUCUAUGCAUUGAUUACUGAUAACCCUCAGAAAUGAGGAACUGUUCUGUCCCUUUUUCUGCUGAAGAGGCCAGCUGAGCUCGUGAUGCUGUCCGUUCAUUGCUGAUGGUGUUUGUAAUCUGCUGCCAAACGAUGUCAUUUCUGGUUCUUUCAUCUUUUCCCUAGGGCCAGACUGCAGGCCUUUCACACCACUAGAAGAGCAGAUUAAAUUGGUCUUCGGAUGCGCAGGCUGCAGACUGAGACAGUGAAUUUGAACAUGGUGAAGAAGGUUGGUGAUAGUUUCCCAGAUUUUAGAGAGUUCUUGAGCGUUUAUGAGAAUUUUAAGGAGUUAAAGAGAAUAUGGAACAGGUUGGAGGGCCUGAUCUAGUGGGUGGCACCCCUGUCCGUGGCAGGGGUUGGAACUGGGUGAUCUUGAAUGUCCCUUCCAACCCAAACCAUUCUGAUUCUAUGAUGCUAAGUAAAUGUCUUCCGUCUGAGACUUUAAGUCAGUGUCUUAUCAGGGAUUUAACUGCAGUUUUAUAGAGCACCCUGGAUAUGUUAAACUCUGUACUUCUUACUACAAUGAAAAGAUAAGCUAGAUAAAGGGCCAAGAAAUGGUCUCGUUCGCUUUUCCCAGAUUUGUUAUGUUUACCAGCUGGAAGAUUACACAAUUUAGGGGGAUAUCCUGGAACAGAAAUGGAUGCCAGGCAGUAAGGGAUGACAGAGUUCUUUUAAAGCAACUCUAUCCUAAUUGUACUAAAGAAAAAGGAGCGAAUGACAAAAGGUGCUAGGCAGUUAUCACCUCUUCCUGCCCUAGUCAUUACUAGUUGUGCUUAUACAACAGAAUUAACAGUUAAUACUGAAAAUAUCAGGAGGAAUAGGAAAUCACUUUAAAACUCAAGGGGAGAUGUGCUCUUUGCUUUGGUUGGGCCAGUAUUGCAUGCCAAAAUUAAUCAGUCAUGUUUCUACAGGAAACCCUGAGGAUGUAGGUGUAUAGAGCGUAAUGUACGUUUGGGACAGGUGACAAAGUUCAGCUUACCUAAUGUAAAAUAAGAUUUCUUGCUUGAGUACAGGUAGGGCUGAAUACCUACAGCCAAGUACUCUGCUGACUUCAGUAUUGUGUGUCUUCUAGGAAAGUCACUAGGCCCAGAGAGGCAGCAGACGUAGUCCUGACCCCACUGGAAACUACAGCUAGGGCGUUCUUCCAGUCCAUAUGCCGUACCAGGUAGUGUUAAUGGGAGAAGGAAGUCGUGCACUACAGGCAAUAACUACCCUAACUCCUUUGGUCAUUAAAUCCACACUUGUCUGAGAGAUGAAGGAAAGAGGCUGUUGCAGCUCCUUGACACCGUUUAAAAUGGAGCAUAGCUGUGUAUUGGGUUUCCGAAGUCUCUGCAGUGACCUGAGGAGCAGCAUCAGGAUACCACCCAAGAAACAAACAAUUAUUUAAAGUAAGAGGUAUUAUGUCAGUUCUUAACACACCCGCUAGAAGGGACUGCAGAAGGAGGUCUGAAACAGACUAAGGCAGCACAGCAAAGAAUGAAUGAAGGCAGGGGAAAAGUGGGGAAAAAAAAUCUUGUCUGCUGCAGAGAGACGGGAAGGAGGACAGUGUCAUAAGGAAAACAUCAAAAGGCAAAAUGAAGAGAACUGGGAUUCAAACAAAACUGACUUAAAAAGUAGGUAAACGGGGAGAGGGUACAGAACAGCGGGGCCUGGUCUUUGUAGGUAAGGCACAGCAAUCUGCAUCCAGGCUCAGUGCGGCGGGGAAGUGAAAGCCCACCUCCAUGUGCCAGCUUUUUUCUGCUCCCAAGAGAGGAGAUCUGCUCUCCCGAAGACAGACAGAUGGCAUUGCCAUUGCCUGUGCUCCUGUGGGGGAUUUUUCCAGAUGGGGAGUUGGAAGCUCCUUUGUGCUGUUACAGCCUUCCUCUCUAGCAGCUCUCGACUGCUCAGGGCCUCCACCAGUCUGUGUACCCAUAUCAUAUGCUACUUGCACAUGCACACACAUGCGUCUUGGUCCUGUGCGAAUUUCAGCUGAACCUGUUGGAGAUUGCUAACAAAAACUGAGUUACCAGCGCUGAUCUUAAAGGAGAGAUGAGGAGAGUGUUUUGCGCAGAGGAACCGCAGGCAGCGCCGCCUCGCACAGGAGCUUCAUCAGGUACUCUCUGUCCUUUCUCACCUCUGACAGAUACGGAAGAUGGCACAGAAAUGACAAGUUAUCUGGAAAACCACUGGGUGAUGCAGGAAGCAUCACCUUCAUCACAACCCAAUGAGCUGUUCACUGAAUAAAGCAGGACAAAUUGAAGGAAGGCCAUUUUAAAUAAUAAACAGCCACCUUUGAUCUCUGCUUCCUUAACAGCUGAGCAAAUGAGCACAGAAAGUAAAACUUUGGAAAGGUAACGUAAUUUCGGGUUUUACAAUCAAGUAAAGGGAGAUACUAAGUCUGUUCCCUUUAUCUUGGUUACACAUUAAAUUUAUGACAACCUCACCAGUGUAAAUAAGUACAUUCUGUUUUGCUUUCUCAUAUUUUCCUUCCUCUGCAACUUUGCAGCCUACAGUUGCAUCAAGUGACCUUGCUCCUUCCCCUCUGCUUUCAUUCAGUUUCGUUUUAUGCUCGUUACUGGAUUGUCACCAGGUGUUCCUGUCUUCCUGGUUAGUUUCAUUUCCCCAGUAAUACCAGAAUAAGGAAAAACUGUAGCAGCUGAAAAAUAUAUGCAAAGCCUGCUAUAUGCCGCAACUGUCUUAAAAAUAGUAUUACUCCAUUUUCAUUAAUAAAAUUCACAAAAGGGCAUGUGUUCUGAUCUCUCGCUACGUCCAUACAUUCUUUAAAAUCAUCUCAUCGAUUUAUCAAACACAGUAGAAAAGUUCAUCUAUCAUUUGGAAAAGCAGCCAGGCCAGGCCUGAGUGUGGGAAAAGGUGUUGCAGCUGUCCUUCAACAUCAGAUUUGCACUUCACUGAAUUUAAAUAAAUAAAUAAAUAAAUAAAUAAUGAAAAAUAAACAGGCUAAGGAGCAGCACAGGCCUUGCCCUCAGACAGUCUUGGGCUCCUGAGGCACUGCUGAAAUGCGGAGAGCUGCUGGAGUCAGUUAUGUCAGGCACCGUAAAUCAAGCUGCCGUUUUCAACAGCAGUCAGAAAACUGGAAGCUUUUGCAAAUCUGUGGGGUGCAGCUGCAAAGCUCCGGGUGCAAGGCACCUUCAGGGAGCUGGCAGCCGUAGCCUGCACUAGAACUCGUGAGUGACCUGCAUCAGAUAGGUGAAAAGAGCAUUAAAGGGAUGGAGCUAUUUGGGGCACGGCACUGCGGAAAGAAACAGCUGCAAGCACCACAUCCAAGCAGAGAUGAAAGUAACCGGUGGUGAUGCUGCUCAUGCAGCCUUUCAGCAACAGCCAGAGGGUCCCUGCUAGAUUGCAGCUCCUCGUGCAAAGCAGACAUCCUCCUUCACGUCAAAGUGCAAACGUCACUUGGGGUUUUCUCUCCUAGGCACUCACGGCAUUAUGCCAGGAAGAACUGUCGAGCAUCCCACCUGCCUGCAGCCAGCUUAAGCAACGCAAGGGCAAGUGUUGGUGCUCCUGCUUUAAAGGGAUGCUCUGACAAGCUCCAGCUCGGUGAGUAACAACGUGCUAGAUACAGCGUGCUUCUCAUACCCGUGGGACAAGUACCCGCAAGAAAAAUCUCCAACCAUAACGCAAUAAAACGUGCAUGAGUUUAACAAAGAUACAUACUUUGCUUAAAUCAGUAAAUACAGUGAACUUGGGAUGACCAGGACCAGUAACAAGAUAAAACGAUAAAAAUGGGCGAUUUGUACUACUGGAAGCAUCUAAAGGAAGGAGGGUGCUCAGUCACAGAGACUUUUAUGAAAGUAGCAUACAGGUCUUGUCAGUCUCAAAGUACAAAUACAUACCAGAGAAAAAUGCACGAAGAACCUCCUUCACUAAAGUGUGUGCUCUCAAAUUCAGAGAAAAUUAAAUUUCUUAAGUUGUGUUUCUCAUCUGUUUCUGUGAUGAAUUUUCACUCUUGUUCUCAAAAUAGUUUUAGUACCUGCUGCAGGGUGAACACGUAAUUUAAAAAACAUGCAGAAUUGUAAAGACCCUCAGACUUGUGAAAAUACCUCAUCGGCAGUCUGUGUGGUCAAAGACCCAAGGAAGAUGCAAAAUACAAGCAGGUACAGCAAUAUGAUAGAAGACAGGAAGAAACAGCGUGAAAAAAUCUUAAAAAUUGAAUCACUGGGCUUACAUUUAACCCAGGAGGACGUUCACAAAGUCCAUCUCUAGGGAAAGAGGUAGUGAGCAGCAGCACAAACAACCACGUGAAGCAAUGCUUCAGUGAAGGAAAAACAACACGGCUACAAGCACUCUGAAAAACCACAGAGUAGUUUUUUCCCACACAAAGUCCUUCAUCUGGUCCUCAACAGAGGACCCACCACGCUCUCAACACCAGGAGGGCGACCAGCAGUAAACGACUAAACAAACAAAUAAAAAGGAGGAGGGAAAAAAAAAAAAAAGCACGCAGGGACUACUGUAAUAAAAUGGCUUUGUUUAAAAUGAUUUCAGACACAGAGCAACCAGUCAUCACCUGAUUAGAAUGCAACAUAUGUUCCAUUAGACAGAACUACGAAACGUCUGUACACUCAGCUGCAUUUGGGAUAAUAAGCUCUCAUUUGCUAUAGGCACUGUAUGUUCUUUUCGUUUUACUUCUAGUGGCAAUUAACCUCCCUGUUAUUAAGAAAAUUGAGCUCGAAGUGGAAGACAAACACACUCAUUUGCAGCACUGAAGAAACAAGAUCCUUUUACAUAGGCUCGUUUCUUCAAAUGCGUUUUUUACCUCCCAAACUCUUUCAGACAAAGUGAAGCAAAUCCAACCUUCCUCCUAAGUUUCCGACUCCCAGACUCCACAGGCAGAAGCCCCGUGCAACACUCACAGGUGCUUUAUGUUUGUGAGCUUCUCUUCUGCAACCCCAUCUCCUUGGGGUUUGUGUUCCCACCAUAGAUUGGGAACUCUAAUAUUGGACCACCAUCCCAAGUCCCGCUCCUGGAGAUAAAACCUGACUUAGCAUAUGCUCACUGAAAACACAAGGUUAUUUUAUCUGACAAGGAUUUUUUUCAAGGAGUACUAGGAGAAUUAAUACAGCACUCUUGCACUGAUCAUUUAAGUGCAUAUAAGCAAUCCAAACUACAUACCAGAAACUUCAACCCCUAUUUCAAAUAAUCAAGGAAAAAUUUCACCUCAAAUCGCAAAAAAACAUCAAAGUUUGGAAAACUGGGAGCAAAUUCAAACAGCAGAGUAUUUCAGGCCUGCAUGAGAGCAGUGCAGCAGCUGGGGAGCACGCAGAGCUUACCUUCUGGAAUGAUGAUGAUGCAGAAAGAAAAAUGAAGAAAGAGCAGUUUGCUUUGCUUUGGAGGUGAGAGGUCACAGUUUGUGCAGAACUGUGGAUGCCAUAAACCACAGCGGUCAUCUCGCAGUUUAAAGAGAAAACAGUCUGCCAAGCCUAACGGGAUUGUAGUGGAUGUUUCAGUUUCUCAGGAGAACACAAAGCGGAAUGCGCAGAAUCACACAGGUCCGGCCAAAGCCUCUUAGCCCCACACAGCACAAGCAGCAGUGUCUGUGCUGACCAGUGCUCAGCUGGCCUUGUCUCCUGACUGCCCUCGGUGGCACACAGAGAACCACGGUACUUACCUGCAGUUGCAAAGGUUUUGUUGUUUUCUUUUUCCCAUUUUUCUCCCAGCCUGAGUUUGCAACCAAGUUCCUGGGCUGCACUGCACACGUAUGACCAACGUGCUGCAGGCAGACGUUUUAGCAUUUGUCUUGUAGCACUCAGGAGGCACCAUCUUCACCUCAAAAUGGGAUUCAACUACCCUAAGCUCUCUCUGCAGACCGGGCUCAAGGACUAGAUGCAAGACAAAAAAUAAAUAGGGAAAAGGCAGGAGAUGGCACAGGUCAGUUUGCCCAGCCAGGAUACCUGACUUGUCAUCACAACAAGGAGAGUUUUAAGCAUGAGUUCAAGGAAGGGAACAGUUCAGCAGAUGUUUGGGGGUCAUUCCUCCCAAGUACAAGUAAAAAACUGAAGGCAAAACCGGCUGCACACGAAUAGGGGUUAGAAGACACUGAUAUCAGCAUUUCAGCAGUAGUGGAGAAAAACUGACAGGGAACACGGGAGCAGGUUGUGAAAAGGAGGACCAGUAGCCUGGUCCAGUGGAGGAGUCACACUCAGUAUAGGAACACACACUGGAGAAGAAAUGGAAGCAUCAGAUCAAUGGGCUCACAAAAUGAUCCUUGCUGCAAUGUGUACCACCAGAACAUGGUAACAUUUGUCAGCACCAAAGGGAAGAACAAGGAGGUUUGAGCAGCAUAGAUGAAGAGUUUUGUUUUAAAUAAAACAGCUAAACGAACAUACGACAUUUAAGCAGUUUCUGCAUAUACAGUACGAAAGCAACCUGAGGUGAAUGAGAUGGUUCAUAGACUUCUGUGACAGGGAAAGACAACAGCAUGCUAACAGCUACUUCUCGUCUUCUCUCCUAAAUCAAAACUUUAAGAACAUACUUUAUGUUUGCAGUAGGCAGCUGUAACAGAUAAAUAUUCCAUCGCAGAUGACAGGCUUUGAAUAUUCACAGGUGAAAUGAGAUAUAAUAUCCAGAAGACUCUGCUGCAUUCAGGUGUGGCCCUCAGUUCACUGUUGCUAACACUAUUAAGAUUACUGGAUUUUUUUAGCCUUUCAACCACCCCCAUCCCCCCCAACUUCCAUCUUAUAUGGAGCAAAAAAUCCAAUAGCAACAACUGACAGAAAAACACUAAGACAUAAUCGGCCUCACCAGAACAACCUGAUCCACAUCUGUUCCUGCACUUGGGAAACCAGAUUUUCCUUGGGGCAGAUUAUGGUAACCUUUGCUCAUUUGCGUUGCCUAUAUUUGGAUGCACAAAGUGUGUUAGUGCAGAACUUGUCGGGGCUUGUAGACUUGCAGAAGGGUUCUUUGGACUUCGUCCCUGGGCUGGCUGCAAACUCAGAUGAAGAUUUAGCAGCAAAGGCAGAAGAGUUAGAUCAGACUUGCGGAAUGGGAUAGGCAGUCCAUCACCAAUUUAAGGUAUCCUCUACAGAGAAACAGAUUGCUCCUUUCACCUUCCAUCUUUGCCUAAAAUUUACAGUAAAUUCUACUGGGAAUUAUGGGCUAUUCCCUGAACCCAAAAACAUUUUGGAUGUUUAAUGGCUUACUACAGUUGCAACUUCUGUGCUUAGUUUGAAAUACACUAGAGUUGUUCUUGGAUCUUGCCUUUUCCUCUGCAUUGUUGUUUGAAAAAGGAGAUUCCAGCCUUGUAUAACUAGCUCCUAGAAGCGAUUAAUACUAGUCCCUAGAAAGGAAACGUAGUAUUAUAUAUUAUACACUGGCCAGAGUGACUGGAAUAGAAAUACCUUUGAAGAUCAGGGCUCCAGUAACACAAUCUCACUGGCAUCAGGAGGACAGCAAAAUGAGGCUUGUCCUCAUUCACCUCAAGACUACGUACUUCUGGAACAGGGUAUAUUUCUCUUAAACAUUUUCCAAAAUUAUCUUUGCAUAAUGAUCAGCACAGAGACGAAACAAAUCUCUCAAAGUUGUGCACACUUCACGGGCUAGUAACUGGAGUGAAUGUUGCAUCUACAACUUCGGAAGGUUCCUACCAAAAUAAAUAAGAACCUAACUUGUUAAAGCAAUUUUUAUUUAAGUAUUUGGAGGGAAACUUUCAUACCAUAAGUAAAA